RNAcentral lists this ribosomal RNA (503 nucleotides) under uncultured bacterium. RNAcentral's name for it is "partial 16S ribosomal RNA". It matches the Rfam family "Bacterial small subunit ribosomal RNA", at positions 30 to 523 of the family's 1533-position model. The record is from RNAcentral.
AUUGAACGCUGGCGGCAGGCUUAACACAUGCAAGUCGAGCGGGGUGAUGGUGCUUGCACUAUCACUUAGCGGCGGACGGGUGAGCAAUGCUUAGGAAUCUGCCUAUUAGUGGGGGACAACAUCUCGAAAGGGAUGCUAAUACCGCAUACGUCCUACGGGAGAAAGCAGGGGAUCACUUGUGACCUUGCGCUAAUAGAUGAGCCUAAGUCGGAUUAGCUAGUUGGUGGGGUAAAGGCCUACCAAGGCGACGAUCUGUAGCGGGUCUGAGAGGACGCACCGCCACACUGGGACUGGAACACGGCCCAGACUCCUACGGGAGGCAGCAGUGGGGAAUAUUGGACAAUGGGGGGAACCCUGAUCCAGCCAUGCCGCGUGUGUGAAGAAGGCCUUAUGGUUGUAAAGCACUUUAAGCGAGGAGGAGGCUCUUUUGGUUAAUACCCAAGAUGAGUGGACGUUACUCGCAGAAUAAGCACCGGCUAACUCUGUGCCAGCCGCCGCAGUAA